AGAAAAAAAAAAGAAAAGAGGGUCAGAAUCUCAAACCCUUUUAUCUUUUAACCCUAAAACCCCGAAUUCCCAAUCUCCACCUCAAUUCACCUGCGCCACCACCAGGAUUCACCCCCCAUCUCCACCGCAAUUCACCUUCGAUCCCCACCUCUAAUCACCCCCCAUCUCCACCUCUUACAUAGCCGUGACCAUCUUCAUCAAGCAAAGUAUGUUUCUUACCAUGCUUCAUUCAGAUCCCCUUUGAAGCACAACCUGUUCUUUGCAGUUUCUGGAGUGUGGCAGUUGCUGACAAGUAAGCCAAUUUGCUUUCACUAUCAGAAUGUCGGAGGCAAGUGAGCAGGAAUCGGUGGAGCAAGGUUUGAUUUGUGUCCUAAUGCCCUGUUUGGAUUUAAGAAUUUCAUCUGAAAUUCUGGACUUGGUGCAAAUCCGCUAUUUAAAUGAUAAAGAAUUUAGAACCUGGAAUUACACCAGGCUACUUUCACUCCACCUUUACUUCUAUCUUUUAUUACACGUGUUGCAGUAGCUUAAGUCUCGUUAUCUUUCACUUCUAUCCUUUCUCUCUCCUGUGAUGCUCCUCAUUCAUCUCCCAUUCCACCAUAAUCAUCAAAUAGAUGCAAGAUUUUAAUCACUGUUUAACAUGCCUUAUUAUUCUUCUGGCAUCAUCACUUGUUGCGUGGUAAUGCAUAUUAUACUACUUCUAUCCUUGCACCAGUAAAAUGUCAGCUAACCACCCGAUAGGCGAUAUCACCCUGCAUUGUUUAGUACUGUCAACUUUGUGGUGUCAGAAAGGUUUUUCGUAAAGGGAUAUUGUUUUGUUUUCUAACAGAAUAAAGUUUCUUGUAAUUCAUCUUUUUGGAUGAUCUAUAAAUAUUUCAGUCACCAGUUUAUCGACAUAACAAUACUAUGCAUUCUGCACAAGUUCCUCACUCUAACUCUGUUUGUCAUCAUGCCUUGAUUACUUUCUUUGUUUCUUAUACAUAGUAAUCACAACAAUAAUUAUAGACUUGCAGCUUGCAGUUCUUAGCUACGAGGACAGCAAAAGCUCAUAAAUUCUGCACUAUCAUAUAAGAUUGCAGUUACAUUUUUUAUCAAGUCGAUAUUACAAUAUCUCAUAUACAGAACCCGAAAAUUACCAAUCUCGGGAUGCAAACUCAGAUUUGAAAAAAAAGUAAUUGAACCCGUUCUAGUCUUUCCUAAGACUCAGCAGGUAGCAUCACAAAUUUAUGCUUAACAAAAGGUCAGAAGAGGGCAUCAGAGGAAGAGCUGAAGCAGAAAACAUGAGUCUAACAUACACCAGGUCAAAUCAGAAAAUGUCAAGUAUUUUCUUAAACUAUUUUGACAUGGUGCAACUGCAAAGGCAGUUGAAGCUGCUAUUUAGAAAAACAAUAGGGAAAUGUUAAUAGAGUUGUUCUCUUCAGGCAAUUCAAAAAGCAUAUAGAUCACUCCGAGCUAAAAGCCAGAUUCUCGUCUUUGACUGGCAAAUAAUUGAUUUUUUUUAUUGCUGCAUUAUAAUUACAUAUGGCAAGGUUCUAUAGUCCAAUGACAUUUCCCUACAGAAAUAUAUAUUAGGAUGAAAAUCAAUUCAGCAACUGUCUUUAUAGUACAUUCACCAACUCAUUAUUAUGUCAAUUAAUGCAAUUACAUCUUUUCAAAAAUUAGCAAGACAACCAAAUAGUCAGCUAUCACGCAAACCCUUAAUCAAGAAAAUCUAGUUUCUGAAGUUCUGAGAGAUUAAUCAAGAACUAACAGCAAAGGAAUCUAUGUUGCUUGAAAAGCAAGCAUGACAAAGAAAUUCCAUAGUUUCACAUAGAAGACCAUUACUUAGCGUCCUAGUGCUCAAACCAAACUCAAACAAACCUAACUAGCUAGUGCUCAUGUCCAAGCUGUAAGUUUCUUUCCUUUCAGUGGAUUCAACAUUCCCUUUUAUGUUCAUUAAGCAUUGAACUAAGGUAAUUCAUACUUUACAUUUCAGGUCACACUGGGCAUUUUACGGACGCUGUUUAUAUAGUUGCAGCCAGGUCUGGUUUCAUGUCAAUGAACAAUUGCCUGUUGGAUCACAGAAGUCAUUACCUGAUCAAGCACCUUAUAUGUGUGAAACAGCUUUAGACGUCUCUGAAGGGGUCAGCAGGGAUGAGGAGACACUUCAGCCAACCGUCUAUUUGAACAAAUCCUAAGCCAGGUCAUUUCAUCUUCCAGGUUGCCCGAAAAAUUUCCUGAAGGAGCUCGAAUAUUUGUUGUUGAUCCAAUGUUGGCAACAGGUGUUUUGUUCUAACAGGAAUAUUGGCAUUUAACAUGAUUUUUUGGAAGAUGUAUAGCAGUUUGGAAGAUGUAUAAUAGUUGCAGCUUUUGGAGAUCUUUUAUGCACAGAGUUUUGGGAACACAUAUUGCCAGACAUGAUGCAUUGACUAUCUGGCUUAAAUUACGAUUCAGUUAGGCUUAGAUUUUGCUAUUGUCACAGUUGGUCAGGCUUAGUUUUUUGUAAGCAGGGGUCGCUCGCACAUGAAAAGGCCUAUCCAUUGUGAACCCUUCCUAUAAGGUGUCACCUGAGAAAGGCGUUGAUGCAUAUUAGCUUUCUUGCCAGGACUGGUUAUGUUAAAACCUUUUAGGUUAUUAUGUUUGGGGGAUGGGAAUUAUUGUUGGCCAUCUGUGGAUAAUAUUUUGAAUUGUGUACAGUUGUCACGAUCAUAUAAAUAAAUAUAUCUUUCUUGAAUA
Beta vulgaris subsp. vulgaris (sugar beet) is the source of this 2712-nucleotide RNA transcript. RefSeq lists it as uncharacterized. The transcript is spliced from 7 exons. The record is from RefSeq and is a predicted model, not a curated record. Lineage: Eukaryota; Viridiplantae; Streptophyta; Magnoliopsida; Caryophyllales; Amaranthaceae.